UUUUUUUUAAGAUAACGCACAAAAGCUUUGCCUGCAUUGGCAGUGCCAAUGUGUGGUAGUGAAGAGUUCAAAAUACAGAAGAAAAAAAAGUCACUUCCCCUCCUGCACAUAACAGGAAAAGUCUGCUCCAGCUGCACUGAUAAUAUAGCCAAGCAGCUGCAUGCAGUUCAGCUUAGCAGAAGCACACCCAUUCAUAAUUGUUACAUGUAAAAAUACAGCUUUUUUUAAUUAUCACUUUCAAAACAGUGAAAGCCAGACUGUGAGCUUCAACCAAGAGGAAAAUGUGAGUAAUUACUUUCAGUUUUCCCCCCAGAUGCUACUACUUGGAGAACAAAAACAUCAAGUGGAUGGAUGGACGGAUGCUCGUCUGUACUUAAUGUACCGUAUACCUAAUGAGGAUGGCAUCACUCUCUCACAUGACAAGUGUCCCAGCAAGGAAAGAAUGACUUGUGUAAGUGGGUCACCAGUGUGGCGCCACUCUUACGUCUCGCUUUGAUUUGGCCAGUGGUUUGUCUCAAGUGGCUUUGCAAAGGAGUACGAAGAGCAAGCGGCAGGCGCCCACACGGAACCUGAUGAAUCCGAGUCCGACCCAUUCUUGCAUUCAGCCCUAAAGCGUCUCCCUGCUGGCUGUGAGCCACGUUGCCAUUUAAGUCUGGACUCAGGAUAAGCCCUGCAGCUGAGGCCUACAUCUCAGUUAUGACUGACAUCUGAGCGCUUCAACGUUUUCAUUACACCGCUGGGAGGAAACAAGAUGUGCUGCUGGAGCAAGGACAGGCCGCAACGUAGGCAGCCCACAGGAGAUGGGAGGAAGCAGAGGAAGCAAAGUGGAGCUCUAUCUCCAACCCGACCGAGCGCCUCUCGCAUGGCAAGCAGAAGGACGUUCAUGAUGGCAAGCAGCGGGCAGGGGCCGUUCUCGUUCUGGGUGAUGAUCGGCGUGUUCUCCUCCCUCCACUUGAUCCAU
Long non-coding RNA from Syngnathus acus (greater pipefish), 961 nucleotides. RefSeq lists it as uncharacterized. NCBI's taxonomy places the organism in Eukaryota, Metazoa, Chordata, Actinopteri, Syngnathiformes, Syngnathidae. The transcript has 5 exons. The record is from RefSeq and is a predicted model, not a curated record.